Molecule: ribosomal RNA, 487 nt
Filed under: Myroides sp. 5R.fB
Lineage: Bacteria; Pseudomonadati; Bacteroidota; Flavobacteriia; Flavobacteriales; Flavobacteriaceae
Description: bacterial SSU rRNA
Rfam family: Bacterial small subunit ribosomal RNA
Source: RNAcentral
UGGGCCCUAAACCAAUUGCAAGUCGAGGGGUAGGAAGAGCUUGCUUUUCUGAGACCGGCGCACGGGUGAGUAACGCGUAUGCAAUCUACCUUAUACAGGGGAAUAGCCCAGAGAAAUUUGGAUUAAUGCCCCAUGGUUUAUUGAGAUGGCAUCAUUUUAAUAAUAAAGAUUUAUCGGUAUAAGAUGAGCAUGCGUAUCAUUAGCUAGUUGGUGUGGUAACGGCAUACCAAGGCGACGAUGAUUAGGGGUCCUGAGAGGGAGAUCCCCCACACUGGUACUGAGACACGGACCAGACUCCUACGGGAGGCAGCAGUGAGGAAUAUUGGUCAAUGGAGGCAACUCUGAACCAGCCAUGCCGCGUGCAGGAUGACGGUCCUAUGGAUUGUAAACUGCUUUUGUACAGGAAGAAACAUUGCUACGUGUAGCAACUUGACGGUACUGUAAGAAUAAGGAUCGGCUAACUCCGUGCCAGCAGCCGCGGUAAUAA